RNAcentral lists this ribosomal RNA (292 nucleotides) under uncultured eukaryote. Its description in RNAcentral is "partial 18S ribosomal RNA". It matches the Rfam family "Eukaryotic small subunit ribosomal RNA", at positions 6 to 287 of the family's 1831-position model. The record is from RNAcentral.
GGUUGAUCCUGCCAGUAGUCAUAUGCUUGUCACAAAGAUUAAGCCAUGCAUGUCUAAGUAUAAACAAAUUUAUAUAGUGAAACUGCGAAUGGCUCAUUAAAUCAGUUAUAGUUUACUUGAUCGUAAAGAAAAAACCUAAAAGGAUAACCGUAGGAAAACUAGGGCUAAUACAUGAGAAAAAGGGUGACUAUCUUACGAUGGAAACCUUGUAUUUAUUAGAUAAGAAAAACUAGAAUAUUAUAAAAAAGAUGAAUCAUAAUAACUUUAAACUAAUCGACUUGAAAAGGUCGAU